Scophthalmus maximus (turbot) is the source of this 407-nucleotide long non-coding RNA. RefSeq lists it as uncharacterized. NCBI's taxonomy places the organism in Eukaryota, Metazoa, Chordata, Actinopteri, Pleuronectiformes, Scophthalmidae. The record is from RefSeq and is a predicted model, not a curated record. The transcript has 3 exons.
CCCUCUGUGGACAUGGCGGCGAAAGACUGACGAGAGCGCUUUGAACGUUUCUCAAUACCAAGUACUGGCUAAAGAAGGAACUUGGGAACUUCGAUCGGGGAGUACAAAGCUUUCUCGAAGAAGAAGAGGAAGAGCGGAUCCGUGAAAGAAGAGCCAGGAUUGAAACAGCGCCCCCUACAGAAGCCGUCCCAGGACUGUCAUGGUUAAGAUGCAUACGUCUCUCCACUAGAGGAAGCAAGGCUCACACAUGCUUUUACAGAACAACAAGGACUUGAGGCUCCACACUCACCUGCCGUGGCUACCUUGACCAGUUCAUCAUUGCUGAAUUCAUUCAAGUGCUGUUUCAUCUCAGAGACGGCCUUAGUCACUGGGCCGAAGGUGAAGUAGGGGUUGACGCUAACUGUAGG